This 253-nucleotide ribosomal RNA is filed under the name uncultured bacterium. RNAcentral's name for it is "partial 16S ribosomal RNA". It matches the Rfam family "Bacterial small subunit ribosomal RNA", at positions 524 to 776 of the family's 1533-position model. The record is from RNAcentral.
UACGAAGGGGGCUAGCGUUGUUCGGAUUAACUGGGCGUAAAGGGUGCGUAGGCGGGGUUUUAAGUCAGGGGUGAAAUGCCGAGGCUCAACUUCGGAACUGCCUUUGAUACUGGAGAUCUUGAGUCCGGGAGAGGUGAGUGGAAUUGCGAGUGUAGAGGUGAAAUUCGUAGAUAUUCGCAAGAACACCAGUGGCGAAGGCGGCUCACUGGCCCGGAACUGACGCUGAGACGCGAAAGCGUGGGGAGCAAACAGG